UUUUAUUUAUAAUUUCAUAUCAUGAUCGUCUUGUGACAAAUUUCCAGUCAAUUUUGAAGUAUAUAUUUAUAUCAUUUGAUAGAUGUCAGUUUACUAUAUACCUCCUAAAACCGAAGGAGAAAAUCAGUUACUAAGUAAAGGCAAAUUGCCCAUAAAGUUAAAAAACGCUAAAUCCUGGCUGCGCAAAAAAGGAGCAAUUUCACCUUUGAGAAAGAAAAAAAGAACAUUGAAUACUGAUGACCCAACCUCUUCUUCUGUUGAUGGUACAUUUUAUCUCAUACUUUAUUGAAAUUUUAAAAAUCAUUUUAUGUUACUUUCUUUCUAUUAGAUGUUCUUUCGAAUGAAAUAAAAGUUGCGCAAGAAUGGCUUAAAAGAAAUAGAGAACCAUUUGAAGAUGUUGCUGAAAAUUGGAGAAUAUGUAAAGAAGUUCGUCUUAAAACUCUCUUAGCUAAUCAGAACAUUACUACCCAACAAUACAUCGAUCAGUGGUUAAAUAUAUUACAACAACCACAAGGUUACAAAUUGGUACAUUUCUGUGAAUCCCUUGUAUAAUAACUGUAGUUUGAAGGAAAUAUAUAACAACUUUUCUUCUGUCAUCAGAUCUUAGAUGAUUUUAAUAUUUUACAUUCUCUAAAUGCCAAGUAUGCUUGUUUGGAAGGCAAGCAGAACUAUAUUUUAGUGAAAUGACCCUCUAUCAGUAAGAAAUUAGAACAAUUGGUAAUAUUACAGGAUGAUAUUGUGGAUCAUUAUGAUGUGAAAGAUCUUGUGCCCCUUUUGCAGAGAAAUAUAUCUGAUGAUGUUAGAGAUUACAUUUUGUUACACGUCUUAGCUGUUAUAUGUAAGCCAACAAGCAGAGUAAAAGUUGGGAAGAAAAUAUUAAAACCAUCAGUGGAAGAGGCAAGAGAUGCAUUUAUUUUAAAAGUAGCUAUUGGUGGUGAUGUAUUGAAUGCUAUAAAAAGACGGAAUAAGUUUUAUGCUUCUAUGAAUGCUACUGUCCAGCCUUACAUAAUUGUUGUCGGGGAUGUUAAAGAUUCAAUUACUGCUGCAUACGUCUGCAUCAAUAGCUGCCUAUGGAAAAUGGGAAGUGUUCUACAAGCUGUUGAUGUUUGUUUUAAGUCAUUUUUUGCGCUUGAUGCAGACUAUCAAGCUGAAGCAUAUCAUUUAUGGUUAUUUGUUUAGAGAGCUCUGUAUGAUGUUUAUUUGCCAGGUGAACGCUCAAUUACAAAUGUAACUACACUCAUUAGUCGGUUGAAUGGAAUGAUACUGUAAUUAUUCUUUUUUUUUUAUUAUAUUUCUAUGAGAAAUUACAAUAUUUGGAUGUUACUUCUUUAUUAGCUACUUCAUUUUAUAUUUCUUUUUGCAUCCAAAGUUUUUAAUACUAACCUUUAUUUUUGCACAUUAUUGCACUAAAAAUUGUUGUUAAAAAUAUUUUUCAUUUUAAUGUGAUAUUUAUUUAAAAAGAAAGAUGUUUAAGUGCUUCAUCUGCGACAAAAUAUAUAAUGCAGCACAUAGCAUUCUUAGCCACUUACGGUUCUUUCAUUCAACUGAAAUUGCUAAAAAAAAGUUAGUAUGUUGUUGGUGUCAUUAUGUAAGGGUUUUUAAUAAUUUCUCUUCUUAUAGUAAACAUGUAAAAAGGCAUAAAUCUGAAAAUUCUGCCAUAUCUUCGCAAUUGAAGUGUAUUUUUUCUCAAUCUUUACAAGAUUCAAAUUAUGAUAAAGAUCCAACUACACCAAAUGCAUCCGCCUAUACUAAAAAUGAAAGUGUCUCUGGUUUUGAUGUUGAACUUUCUGAAAUCGACAACAGUAAUGAUUUUGAUCAGGCUUUAACAGAUGCUGUUAUUCAUUAUGUUGCUUCAUUGCAUGAUAGCUUUUUAUUAUCUGACAACAUUCAAAAAAUUAUUGAUUGUCAUAAAACUCUUUUAGGUGCAGGAUUUUUAAUGAUCUUAAAGAAACAUAUUUUAAACUUAUUGAAUAAAGCUAAAAGACAAGAAAAUAUUUCUGAUUAUGAAGUUGAUUAUGAAGUGACAAGAAUGGUGGAUUCGUGCCAAAAUAUGUUUAGUGGAUUUGAAAGUCAUUAUUUACGUAUGAAAGAGUUUGAAUCUUGUAAAGCAUUUAUUAAGCCUGAAACAUAUAUAAUAGGAAUAUAAUAGUCUGGAUGAAAAAAAUUCUGGUGGAGAAAUCGCGAUUGACUCUUGUUCAUGGGCAGUUCAUUUCUUUGCGCUUAGUACUGAAAGGAUUCCUUGAAUUACCAAAUAUCCUAAAGACAAUUUUAGAUUAUAUGAAAAUACUUGAAAAUAAUUCUGAUUUGCUUUGUAAUAUUAUUCAAGGCAAACUUUGGAAAGAAAAGAUUGCUCCUAAAUUUCUUGGCAAAAUUGUGUUACCUCUAAUUUUGUAUUUCGAUGAUUAUGAAACGAAUAAAGAAUUAGGAAGUCAUACUGGUGUACAUAAGUUAGGAGCUACUUAUUGCAAAAUUGCUUGUCUUCUACCAGAAUUUCAAUCAUCACUUGAAAAUAUAUUUCUUGUAAACCUAUUUCAUUUGACUGAUAAAAUUUUCGGGAAUAUUAAUGUUUUCCGUAAAGUUUUGAACGAAUUAAAAUAUUUAGAAGACACUGAUAUAACAGUUGUAACAAAAGAUGGAAUUACUCAAGUUUAUUUUGCCAUGUGCCUUUUUGCAGGAGAUAAUUUAGGUGCUAAUAGUAUUCUGGGUUUUGUAGAAAGUUUUUCAGCUAAUUAUUAUUGUCGCGUAUACAAGGAACAUAAUAAAGUUAUGCAAAAACAAACUAUUUCAAAUCCAUCAAAGCGUCGAAAUGUUGCAAAUUAUAACACUGAUCUGACAAUUAAUAAUGGUACUGGUACUGAUACUGGUAUUAAAACGGUCUAUUUUCAACGAACUAAAAAGCUUUCAUGUUGUUGAAAAUAUCCACUUAGAUAUUAUGCAUGAUUUGGAUGAAGGAAUGUGGAAACAGACGAUAACUUGUGUGAUUAAUCUUUUGUUACAAAAGAAAAGAUUUAAUAUCGAUAUCUUAAAUAAUUUAGUUCAAAGUUUUUAUUAUGGUCCUUCUGAACAACAUAAUAAACCUCCUCUCAUAACUAAAGAUCAUAAUCAGCGGAUUAGAUUGGCCUUCUCAGUUAGUGAAAUGCGUUGUUUUAUUCGUUAUUUUGGUAUGAUAGUUGGUCAUUUGAUUUCUGAUGAUGACAUUGACAUUUGGAAAUUAUAUCAAAUUGCUCGUCAAAUUAUUGAUAUCUUAACUGCACCUUCCAUAUCUAUUACAAUACUCCCGUUAUUAAAAGAUCUUUUGAAACAGCAUCACUCACUUUAUUUAAAAUUGUCUGGUAAGAACUUGACUCCUAAGAUGCAUUUAAGUAUCCAUUAUCCAAACAUUAUUCCUGAAGUAAGUCCUCUUGAACCUUUAUCAUGUAUUAGAAUGGAAGCUAAACAUAAAGAAGGUAAGCAAAUUGCUUAUUUGUCAGCUAACAGUAUCAAUUUGCCUUAUACUAUUGCUAAGAGGCACCAACUUAAAUUGUGCUGUCGAUUACUAGCUGGGAGAGGUUUAUCUUUAAACAUAUAAUUUUCAUCAGUACAUACUGUCAAUGUAACUGAAAUAAAAGAAUUUUCAAAGUUUUGUCAUAUAUUUCCUAACAAUAUAUACACCGUAAAAUGGAAUACUGUUAAAUGGAUUAAAAUUAAUAAUUUACAUUAUAAAAAUGACAUUUUGAUUGUUACAAAGUGGGAAAGAGGUCAAAAUCCUCAAUUUGGUUGCAUUCAUACAAUAUCUCUAUCUACAGAUAAUACUGUAUAUUUCUUACUUAAAAAACUCAUUAUUUUAAAUUUUAAUACUCAUUAUCAUGCUUAUAAAGUAAAUUGUAUUCAUCAGUGGCAAUAUCUAAAGUUUCAAGAUUUGGCAGUUCAUGUUGCAA
Odontomachus brunneus is the source of this 3917-nucleotide long non-coding RNA. RefSeq lists it as uncharacterized. NCBI's taxonomy places the organism in Eukaryota, Metazoa, Arthropoda, Insecta, Hymenoptera, Formicidae. The record is from RefSeq and is a predicted model, not a curated record. The transcript is spliced from 3 exons.